GCGGGUAUGACGGAAUUGGUAGACGUACUGGAUUUAGGUUCCAGCGGAGGCGACUCUGUGCAGGUUCGAGCCCUGUUACCCGCACCA
This 87-nucleotide transfer RNA is filed under the name Papillibacter sp. Its description in RNAcentral is "tRNA-Leu". It matches the Rfam family "tRNA". From Rfam's summary of the family: Transfer RNA (tRNA) molecules are approximately 80 nucleotides in length. Their secondary structure includes four short double-helical elements and three loops (D, anti-codon, and T loops). The record is from RNAcentral. Lineage: Bacteria; Bacillati; Bacillota; Clostridia; Eubacteriales; Oscillospiraceae.